GAGUUUGAUCCUGGCUCAGGAUGAACGCUAGCUACAGGCUUAACACAUGCAAGUCGAGGGGCAUCAGUUUGGUUUGCUUGCAAACCAAAGCUGGCGACCGGCGCACGGGUGAGUAACACGUAUCCAACCUACCUCAUACUCGGGGAUAGCCUCUCGAAAGAAAGAUUAAUAUCCGAUAGCAUAUAUUUCCCGCAUGGGUUUUAUAUUAAAGAAAUUCGGUAUGAGAUGGGGAUGCGUUCCAUUAGUUUGUUGGGGGGGUAACGGCCCACCAAGACUACGAUGGAUAGGGGUUCUGAGAGGAAGGUCCCCCACAUUGGAACUGAGACACGGUCCAAACUCCUACGGGAGGCAGCAGUGAGGAAUAUUGGUCAAUGGACGCGAGUCUGAACCAGCCAAGUAGCGUGAAGGAUGACUGCCCUAUGGGUUGUAAACUUCUUUUAUAUGGGAAUAAAGUGGUCCACGUGUGGACUUUUGUAUGUACCAUAUGAAUAAGGAUCGGCUAACUCCGUGCCAGCAGCCGCGGUAAUACGGAGGAUCCGAGCGUUAUCCGGAUUUAUUGGGUUUAAAGGGAGCGUAGGCGGAUUGUUAAGUCAGUUGUGAAAGUUUGCGGCUCAACCGUAAAAUUGCAGUUGAUACUGGCAGUCUUGAGUGCAGUAGAGGUGGGCGGAAUUCGUGGCGUAGCGGUGAAAUGCUUAGAUAUCACGAAGAACUCCGAUUGCGAAGGCAGCUCACUGGAGUGUAACUGACGCUGAUGCUCGAAAGUGUGGGUAUCAAACAGGAUUAGAUACCCUGGUAGUCCACACAGUAAACGAUGAAUACUCGCUGUUUGCGAUAUACAGUAAGCGGCCAAGCGAAAGCAUUAAGUAUUCCACCUGGGGAGUACGCCGGCAACGGUGAAACUCAAAGGAAUUGACGGAAGGG
RNAcentral lists this ribosomal RNA (921 nucleotides) under uncultured bacterium. Its description in RNAcentral is "bacterial SSU rRNA". It matches the Rfam family "Bacterial small subunit ribosomal RNA", at positions 9 to 921 of the family's 1533-position model. The record is from RNAcentral.